AGGAGGUUCCCUUCGGGGGCCCACCUCCCAUCCGUGUUGUCCUGACACCUGUUGCUUCGGCGGGCCCGCCGUGGUUCACGCCCCGGCCGCCGGGGGGUUCACGCCCCCGGGCCCGCGCCCGCCGAAGACCCCUGGAACGCUGCCUGGAAGGUUGCCGUCUGAGUAUACAAUCAAUCAAUUAAAACUUUCAACAACGGAUCUCUUGGUUCCGGCAUCGAUGAAGAACGCAGCGAAAUGCGAUAAGUAAUGUGAAUUGCAGAAUUCCGUGAAUCAUCGAAUCUUUGAACGCACAUUGCGCCCCCUGGCAUUCCGGGGGGCAUGCCUGUCCGAGCGUCAUUGCUAACCCUCCAGCCCGGCUGGUGUGUUGGGCCGCCGUCCCCCCCUCCCGGGGGACGGGCCCGAAAGGCAGCGGCGGCGUCGCGUCCGGUCCUCGAGCGUAUGGGGCUUUGUCACACGCUUCAGUAGAACCGGCCGGCUUGCUGGCCACACGACCUUCACGGUCACCUAUAUUUCUCUUAGGUUGACCUCGGAUCAGGUAGGGAUACCCGCUGAACUUAAGCAUAUCAAUAAGCCGGAGGAA
This 580-nucleotide ribosomal RNA is filed under the name Paecilomyces variotii. RNAcentral's name for it is "eukaryotic LSU rRNA". The stretch from base 183 to 336 matches the Rfam family "5.8S ribosomal RNA". The record is from RNAcentral. Lineage: Eukaryota; Fungi; Ascomycota; Eurotiomycetes; Eurotiales; Thermoascaceae.